Molecule: long non-coding RNA, 357 nt
Organism: Labeo rohita (rohu)
Lineage: Eukaryota; Metazoa; Chordata; Actinopteri; Cypriniformes; Cyprinidae
Exons: 3
Source: RefSeq, a predicted model, not a curated record
GAAUGCAGAAGAUGACAUUCAGUCAACUUCUGCUAACAUUAGAUUUAUGAUUCUUUUUUUUUCACCAGGUCCCAAGCCAGUCAAAACACCCGAACAGAUUAUCAAGCUACUUCUGGAUGUGUUCUGAGAACAUCAGACACAACGCUGCAGAAGAUACAACAUGUUUUACCAGAGCCACAGUCCAGAUGUUGUAAGGAGAGGGAAUGUGAUGGAGUAUUACAGCAAUGGAUUUUGCAGAGGGAGCAUUGAAGAGAGGACACUCAAGGUCACCGUGCUUGGCUAUAAAGUUAUGGAGGAAAAGACAAAGUUUACAGUUUACAAGAUCUUACUGAAGCGUGCACCAGAUGAGAGUUGACA